UUGUUGGGUAGGGGAGCGUUCUGUAAGCCUGCGAAGGUGGCCUGUGAGGGUUGCUGGAGGUAUCAGAAGUGCGAAUGCUGACAUAAGUAACGAUAAAGCGGGUGAAAAGCCCGCUCGCCGGAAGACCAAGGGUUCCUGUCCAACGUUAAUCGGGGCAGGGUGAGUCGACCCCUAAGGCGAGGCCGAAAGGCGUAGUCGAUGGGAAACGGGUUAAUAUUCCCGUACUUGGUGUUACUGCGAAGGGGGGACGGAGAAGGCUAUGUUGGCCGGGCGACGGUUGUCCCGGUUUAAGCGUGUAGGUGUGUGUUCCAGGUAAAUCCGGUUCACUUUAACACUGAGGCGUGACGACGAGGCACUACGGUGCUGAAGCAACAAAUGCCCUGCUUCCAGGAAAAGCCUCUAAGCAUCAGGUAACAUCAAAUCGUACCCCAAACCGACACAGGUGGUCAGGUAGAGAAUACCAAGGCGCUUGAGAGAACUCGGGUGAAGGAACUAGGCAAAAUGGUGCCGUAACUUCGGGAGAAGGCACGCUGACACGUAGGUGAAGUGAUUUACUCAUGGAGCUGAAGUCAGUCGAAGAUACCAGCUGGCUGCAACUGUUUAUUAAAAACACAGCACUGUGCAAACACGAAAGUGGACGUAUACGGUGUGACGCCUGCCCGGUGCCGGAAGGUUAAUUGAUGGGGUCAGCGCAAGCGAAGCUCCUGAUCGAAGCCCCGGUAAACGGCGGCCGUAACUAUAACGGUCCUAAGGUAGCGAAAUUCCUUGUCGGGUAAGUUCCGACCUGCACGAAUGGCGUAAUGAUGGCCAGGCUGUCUCCACCCGAGACUCAGUGAAAUUGAACUCGCUGUGAAGAUGCAGUGUACCCGCGGCAAGACGGAAAGACCCCGUGAACCUUUACUAUAGCUUGACACUGAACAUUGAGCCUUGAUGUGUAGGAUAGGUGGGAGGCUUUGAAGUGUGGACGCCAGUCUGCAUGGAGCCGACCUUGAAAUACCACCCUUUAAUGUUUGAUGUUCUAACGUGGACCCGUUACCCGGGUUGCGGACAGUGUCUGGUGGGUAGUUUGACUGGGGCGGUCUCCUCCUAAAGAGUAACGGAGGAGCACGAAGGUUGGCUAAUCCUGGUCGGACAUCAGGAGGUUAGUGCAAUGGCAUAAGCCAGCUUGACUGCGAGCGUGACGGCGCGAGCAGGUGCGAAAGCAGGUCAUAGUGAUCCGGUGGUUCUGAAUGGAAGGGCCAUCGCUCAACGGAUAAAAGGUACUCCGGGGAUAACAGGCUGAUACCGCCCAAGAGUUCAUAUCGACGGCGGUGUUUGGCACCUCGAUGUCGGCUCAUCACAUCCUGGGGCUGAAGUAGGUCCCAAGGGUAUGGCUGUUCGCCAUUUAAAGUGGUACGCGAGCUGGGUUUAGAACGUCGUGAGACAGUUCGGUCCCUAUCUGCCGUGGGCGCUGGAGAACUGAGGGGGGCUGCUCCUAGUACGAGAGGACCGGAGUGGACGCAUCACUGGUGUUCGGGUUGUCAUGCCAAUGGCACUGCCCGGUAGCUAAAUGCGGAAGAGAUAAGUGCUGAAAGCAUCUAAGCACGAAACUUGCCCCGAG
Molecule: ribosomal RNA, 1600 nt
Filed under: Salmonella enterica
Lineage: Bacteria; Pseudomonadati; Pseudomonadota; Gammaproteobacteria; Enterobacterales; Enterobacteriaceae
Description: partial 23S ribosomal RNA
Rfam family: Bacterial large subunit ribosomal RNA
Source: RNAcentral